This 460-nucleotide ribosomal RNA is filed under the name uncultured bacterium. RNAcentral describes it as "partial 16S ribosomal RNA". It matches the Rfam family "Bacterial small subunit ribosomal RNA", at positions 338 to 795 of the family's 1533-position model. The record is from RNAcentral.
CCUACGGGUGGCAGCAGUGAGGAAUAUUGGUCAAUGGACGAGAGUCUGAACCAGCCAAGCAGCGUGAAGGAUGACUGCCCUAUGGGUUGUAAACUUCUUUUAUAUGGGAAUAAAAUGUUCCACGUGUGGGAUUUUGUAUGUACCAUAUGAAUAAGGAUCGGCUAACUCCGUGCCAGCAGCCGCGGUAAUACGGAGGAUCCGAGCGUUAUCCGGAUUUAUUGGGUUUAAAGGGAGCGUAGGUGGAUUGUUAAGUCCGUUGUGAAAGUUUGCGGCUCAACCGUAAAAUUGCCGUUGAAACUGGCAGUCUUGAGUACAGUAGAGGUGGGCGGAAUUCGUGGUGUAGCGGUGAAAUGCUUAGAUAUCACGAAGAACUCCGAUUGCGAAGGCAGCUUACUGGACUGCAACUGACACUGAGGCUCGAAAGUGUGGGUAUCAAACAGGAUUAGAUACCCUUGUAGUC